RNAcentral lists this ribosomal RNA (497 nucleotides) under uncultured bacterium. RNAcentral's name for it is "partial 16S ribosomal RNA". It matches the Rfam family "Bacterial small subunit ribosomal RNA", at positions 28 to 507 of the family's 1533-position model. The record is from RNAcentral.
GACGAACGCUGGCGGCGUGCCUAAUACAUGCAAGUUGAGCGAUGAAGAUUGGUGCUUGCACCAAUUUGAAGAGCAGCGAACGGGUGAGUAACGCGUGGGGAAUCUGCCUUUGAGCGGGGGACAACAUUUGGAAACGAAUGCUAAUACCGCAUAACAACUUUAAACAUAAGUUUUAAGUUUGAAAGACGCAAUUGCAUCACUCAAAGAUGAUCCCGCGUUUUAUUAGCUAGUUGGUGAGGUAAAGGCUCACCAAGGCGAUGAUACAUAGCCGACCUGAGAGGGUGAUCCGCCACAUUGGGACGUAGACACGGCCCAAACUCCUACGGGAGGCAGCAGGAGGGAAGCUUCGGCAAUGGGCGAAAGGCUGACCGAGCAACGCCGCGGGAGUGAAGAAGGGUUUCGGAUCGUAAAACUCUGUUGGUAGAGAAGAACGUUGGUGAGAGUGAAAAGCUCAUCAAGUGACGGUAACUACCCAGAAAGGGACGGCUAACUACGUG